This 6732-nucleotide long non-coding RNA is filed under the name Bactrocera latifrons. RNAcentral's name for it is "uncharacterized LOC108978140, transcript variant X2". The record is from RNAcentral. Lineage: Eukaryota; Metazoa; Arthropoda; Insecta; Diptera; Tephritidae.
UGAACGAAAUUUUACAGUUGUUGGCGAGAAGUUGUGUUGAAUAGAAUUAUAUGGUGAAAAUAUCUUUAGUCAAAUGAAGGAAGUGAAUGCUGAUGUAUAUGUGUACCAGAAGUGAGCUGAGUCAUCAAAAUUCAAGGCCAACAAAGUUUGAAGUCAAUGAAGCAUCGAACAAAGUGUUCCAUAAUGUGAAAAUGAAAUCCGUGUGAGUUGACAUGACACCAUUUUCUGGUAGAGAAAGCCAAAGCCAACGAGACUGGGCUGGGCGAACCCGAGCCGAGUUUUGGGAGCUACUUACGCACGACUGAUGUGUGGAUGAUCAGCUCAGAUAUUACUCAAUCGUUCGUUUUUUGCCGAUAAAAGAUGAUCAUGGAAGUAUUUGAUCCAACAACAGAGUGAGUGAGCUAAAACAAUGAGAACAUAGAAAUUCUACACAAAUUGCUGUGGGUGCUAAUUCGGAUCUAUUCGGAAUAUGAAAGUGGCGGAAGCGACGGUAUGUGCUGGUGUGAUGUGCUGCUCUAGUUUGUUUAUCAGUUGCACGUGCUGUUCCUCACGUAGUACACCCAAUAUCGAUGUUGAAAAAUUGGUGGUGACGUUUUGAGAGAAUGCGCAACAAAGUGUCUUAGCAGCCGGGACAUCAAAAGAAAGCCAUACUCGUGCGUUAACCAAAACAGCAUAAUUUCCAGAAACGAAUAUGUGGAACAUGAAGGGACAAAAAUAGCAAACAACCAACAUAUGGUUGCGAAGGGUAUUUACAAAUAUUUUCGAAGAACAAUUAGCUUUAAAAUUUCAGCAAUGCGAAGCAGUUGAACGUGCCUGCUAGCAUUUAAAACCAACGUACAUAUAUAUUCUAAACAAUGUAACAUCGUGGGGAAUAAUUUUAUAACAAGCGGAUAACGGAAAUAAUCAUCAUUCUCUCUUUAAAACUAUUUUUACCUGGGGUUGUAAAACGUUGUGACCCUUUCCCUGAUAAAGAUCAACCUGACGUAAGCCAAAUGGAUUUCCUCUUUAAACACUUAUCGUUAAUUUACAGAAUCCUGAAUGUUGAAAUUGAAUAUUGUCUGCUGGCUAGUGGCUGCCGAAACAUCCAUCUCCUUUUUUCUGUUCUUUGUUUUUUUUUUUUUUUCCUCUUUACGAUUUUGUUACAGCGAUACGACAGUUGAACGGUUCCUGUAUGUAUCGGUUGACCAAUGAUAAAGAGCUGAUUCAACAAUUUCCAUGUCUUGAGAAUGUGUUGAGGGAAAACGUUGUUCCCCGAUUGGGAAAAAUCAAACAACCAGCACCUAUUAGAAAUACAUAAACAAAAUACAGGGAUUUGUGUAUAACGAAAAUAAAAAACACAUAUUUUCUACUCAUCUAGAUAACGAACGAGUUACCUCGAGAAUUUUCUUUUGGAUUUUUCAGUGAUACUGCGCAAUAUUGCGAAUUGCAUACGGUCAAUUUGGCAGAUAGAUCCUCUCCAUGCCUUUAAAAUAGUGGCGACGAGGUGGUGAGGUUAGGUCCAUCAUAUCUUGCACUAAUUUCUACCAUUACAGCAUCAAUAAUGGGAAUCAAAGACAAGUUAUAGGCCUCAAAUCUCAUCAGAACUGCCAGCGGGUAAUUCAACGGCCUAAUUUUUUUUUUUAGUAUUUCUUUUUAGCAAUGCGUCACAGUAGAACGUGCCUGUACGCAUCUAACUUACGUAAACAAUUGUGAAGUUUAACGUCAUCACCUUAGAGACAUUGAGAGCAUCCCAUAAUUUCUAUCUAAUUCAAUUGUAAGAGCAAAUACAAUUUUAUUUGACUAAUACCCAAUUUAUAGGGAGCACUAAGAGUACGAUCAACUUUCGUAAUACUGCUUUGAUAUGGCACAGUUGGAUUUUUCUAAAAACAACCAGGAGAAAACUUUGAAUACCUUAACAUCACUUAACAGCACGAGUUUCAACUUGAAGUCGAUUGUAAGACAUUUGCAAUUUUAAAUUUGACUAAUACAUAAUUCAUAGGAAACAAUAACUUAACAAUUGCACUNCAAGGAUACAUUUUAUUUUGUCAAUCACCAACCUACUACAAACCCAUGGAAAUGUAAAUACUGUUCUGAACAUAAGGGCUAAAUCAUGUAAAAAUGGCAAAAGGGAAUCAUGCCAAGACAAUAUCAUAUGCACAGGAGUUGUCAACGAAGGUUAGGUUGAUUUAUAUACCUGUAGUAAUGUUAUUUCACAGUUAUUGCACGAAAAGCGUUGGAGGGAGGAGAUAUCUACUAUAUCUGGUUGAAUACCAAGAUUUCGAUCUGUUAAAUUGGAUAGCAAAAAAGAAAGGUUUACCCAAGCUUAAUAAGUACUUAAUAUUCAAUUGCCGAUUGUUUAUAUUAUGACUUAUUAUACCAUAAACCAGGCGAUAGAGAAGAAAUUUCUAUAUUUUGCAGCGGUACGUCGCAGUUGAUCGGUGCCUGCGUGUGCCCGUGUCUUUGCCUAGCUUACUAGGAAGUUUUUCUAAAGCAGCCUAACAGAUUUAGAGCUUGAAAAUUUCUGACGGAGUCACCAACAGCAUCUAUUCGCCGUGCAACAGUAAGAAACUGUUUCCUUGCCAUAAAUUAAUGCAUUUCUUAUAGAUUUCACGAAAUUGAUGUUCUAAGGAUUGGUUCCUACAUCUUGCUUACGCAAGAAGAAAGAUUAUCUGCAUUUAAUUUUACUAUCUGGACAGUAAAAUUACAAAACAUCAAUUCUGAAUUAGUAUGCUAAAGACACGGUUAUAUGUCCAAAUUUUUUUUACAGAAACUUGCCUGGUCUUUGCAUGAAAGGGAUAAAAAUAAGUUCUUGGCAAAAAGGGAAUCACGCCAACAACAGGUGCCAUGCAUCAAACAAUUUUUACGAUAGAGACGCUACCAAUUUUAUGCAAGAGCUUAGAUGAAAAUCUUUAUACACCUAAAGCACGAGGUAUUCGAUAUUUCGCAGCGUUAAAAGGCACAACGACAUUUUUUACACAAUUUCUGGGGAUUUAAUUCUUUUUUGUUUUUAGCAAAUUGGAAGUUUAUUUUAUAUAUAUUCUUCGAAAACAUACGACUUUUCUCAUUAUAAUUUGUAGCGAUAUAACGUAGUUGAUCUGUACCUGCGUAUAUCUCAUCUGUAUACUGGCUAUAGGGAAUCAAGCCAUACGACACGGUAAAUAGUACGCCCGUCAUGUGAAACAUCGGUUUAUGAGCAGUGAAAGGGCACCCAAAUUGAAAUAACGGUUCCCGUGGAUAUCUUCCACUUGAAACUGGUAAAAUUAAAAUGUCUCGAUUUUUAAACAUCCUGUAAACUUACAUAUCUACACACGAUUUUACUUGCGAUUUUAUUUUCGCGGCAUCAAAAACAACGAAAUAGUUUAUUUAUUACAGCGAUAUAAUACAGUUGAACGGUACCUGUAUGUAUCUACAAUGUGAAUAAUAAUCAGUCGACUCUUUGCCAACUAAAGGCCUGUUAGAGAUAACCAUCAAGAGUAAACGGCAAUUUAUGGUGGUGCAUUUCUGUAUUGCUUCAUCGGACAGUUGGGGAAACUGAAGGUGCUUUGAAAAUGAAUCUUUCCUUCAAUUAAAAAUUUAUUUGCAGUUUGAUGAAAUUUCGUCCGUCUUCUUGGUAAUGUCGUCAGAGAAACUAACUAUGGCAAGAUGUUUCAGCAUUAUCAGUAUUUUCACCAGCUUCCACUCCCCUUACCAUUAUGUUGCAACUUACAGAAUUUACUCGGCCUAUUUUUUUUUUUUUUAUUAAGGAAGUGCAUCAGCGAGCCUCAAAUCUUCAACUAAAUGAGGUGUUUGCUUGAAUUACCCGUUUUUGUUAACACUCUAUUUGCAGUAAACAAUUCAAUGCUUAAUUUAUUGUUAAACAUACAAAUGGCGGCAUUGUACGCAUCCAGAUGAUCGUUAAAGGGAAUCGAACGAUACAACUAGAAGUGGCCGUCCAUAUACAUACAUACCUACAUAUAUACUAUUAAUCAUUGUAAUCACGACAGUCUUGCUCCAAUUGUACGCUAUCUGGUAAUUGAAGGACAAGCUGUAAAUCGUGCCUCAGAAUACCUCACAUACAACGUCGUUGGUCUUCCGUUUAUUUUCGUAAUCUACGAAUCCGUACGAGUCGCCGCUCGGCCAAUUCCUGGCAUUGAGCGAUGGCAAGGAGUUCUGAUGAGUCUGUCCCCGAAUGUGGGCGAAGAAAUGUUUCUAAAGGGAAUCAAAGAAACACGCGUAAGACUUGUUACGGUUCGUUCUGUUAGUAUAAAAUUAUAUAUUUACAGGUCUCAUGUGACUUGACUUAACGAGUCCACAGUAAGAAACGAUUUCAGCCACGGUAUGUGGUUUGCAGAUGGUCUCGCAAAGACUAAUUAAAGAUGUUUAUCAAUCCAAACCACAAUAGCCUAGUUAACAUAUUAAUUAUGUAACUACUCAUUCUAUAAUGCCUGGACAUUACAAGAAUUGUACACAUAAUAAUUGAGAUGAAAUCCAUGUUUACACACGAUUAGUGUUUUUUGUUACAAUUACUUUUCUGUUAAAUACCCUUAAAAGAUAAUUGUAUUCAAGCAUUAUUUUACUUGACCAAAUGUUAUCAAAUUUUAUCAAACUUUCUGUUAUAAUAUCUAAGUUGAAUUGUUUGUCACCCACGAUGUUUUUUAAAAAUCUACUAAUUUUAUCUCAUUGUAAAUUAUAACGACUGUACGAAGAAGUAGUCGAUCCAAUAAUAUGCCGAGUGCAUUAAGAAAUGUGAAGAAAUUUAAAUCCAUAUUCUAAUACACAUGUAAACCAAGAAGAAAAAUCUCAUGUAAAUUGUGACAGUUUAUAUUGACUGAAAUAUCGCAAAUAUUUUUGCAAUGUAAUAUUCAAAAUUUUUGAAAGUUAUUCUGUAAACUCAUUCUUUAUAUAUUUUUAAAAAUCUUACCUUGUAAUUUGACAUGUAACAUUUUUUGAAUGAAUGUAAUUUUGAUAUCUGUAUUGAUUAACUUGGCACACGGCACGAAAGCAGUGAAAACUACAUACUUCCACCACAAGAUCAAAGCAUUCCUUGGUGACCGGUGCGUGAGAGAGAGAGAGAGAGAAAGAGAAAGAUGUCAUUUUGUCAUACAAAGGGUUAUGCUGUGUGAGCAUCAUUUUGAGAGCAGAGAUUUCGUCUUAUUGGGUUAAUUCUUAACUACACAACACACAACCAUCCGAUUGCAAGAGAGAUGCAGAGAUAAAGGGAGAAAAGGCAGGAAAGAGUGCAAGAUAUAGAAAGCUUAGUUCAUAUAGGGAAAACAUCGUGAUCAGCUGUUCCAUUUGGGAUAUCGAAUUAAUUUGGUGGAAUGCGCGGAAGAUUAUAUUAACUUUAAUAUUCUUCGGCCGUACCAUCUAAGCCGCAUUCGCAUCAAAGCAAUAAGUUGCAAGUGCUUUAUACAGCGCCUCACAUUCAAAUUCCAUCCUUCCGUAGUUGUGUGGCAUACACAACUUUUGCAAGUCUGCAGAGCUACACACAAUUUCGUCCAAUGUAGUUCGUCCCGGUGAGAUGUUUACGUGCACAUGCAAUCUCAUCUAGCGUCCUUUUUUGCACUUAACUGCAAGCAUGCGCGCAUACACACACUCAUCGUAUUAACGCACAAAUUAUCAACACACAACCACAAUCUUUCAUUACCAGCAGAAAUCGCGACCAGAGUCUGUUGAAUAGCCAGAGCAAUUGCCUUCCAAGCGUUUUGCAGAGAUAAUAAUAUCUACGUUGAUGCCGAAUCCAUUGCAUUACCUAUUAAUUGCUAAAAAGUAAUUUCGCCCAUUUGUUACCGAUCGGAUUGUACAACUCCGUCGAGAGAGGAUUAAGUACACAUACAUACAUGUAUGCGCUAUGUAUACUAUUCGAGUGCUGGCUUCAUGGUUGUGGUCUGGUUAGUGUGAAUUAAUGUGUGGUCCUCCGUGUGCGUUCUGUUGCAAAGGCAAGAACUUUGGGGCUUCAACGGAGGUUGGUACGGUGGCAUGUGUGACGUAGCUUUGCAGAAAGUAUGAGGGCAAUAUACUGUUCGACCGCUCCAUCCUUUGUUUACCACGACUGGCAUAUCUUUUCGUAACUUCUGAGAGUAUGAGCGUUUUGUCCGAUAUUCAUCUUCAUCGUUCUUAUUUCAUCACUAACUGGGAGAGGCAGAGAGAAGGCAGUUCUAGAAACCCCUUAAGCAAACAACUAUGAAUCUUAUUUCGAGACGUCAGUUUUUCCGUUUAUCUUCACGACUUGAUUGAGUUUAAUUGGGAAGGCAAAAAUUAAAUUAGCAAACAAACAUCGUAAUCAACAAGAGUUGAGGACAGCGUGGGAUUCCAAAGCAUUGACGGCAGCGAGGGAUACCAAGUUGUGACGGCAGCGAGGGAUACCAAGUUGUGACUGCAGCGAGGGAUACCAAGUUGUGACUGCAGCGAGGGAUUCCAAGUAGUGACGGCGGCGUGGGAUACAAAGUUGAGACGGCAGCGAGGGAUACCAAGUUGUGACUGCAGCGUGGGAUUCCAAGUGUUGACGGCAGCGGGGAAUUCAUCGUCGUGGGACUCGGCGGUUCAUCGUGGGGUUGUAGUUUCGGUCUUUUCGGAGAAUUAGAGUAGACGGCAGCGAGGGAUUCCAAGUUGUGACAGCGGCGAGGGAUACCAAGUUGUGACUGCAGCGAGGGAUUCCAAGUAGUGACGGCGGCGUGGGAUACCAAGUUGUGACGGCAGCGUGGGAUACCAAGUUGCGACGGCAGCGUGGGAUACCAAGUUAUGACGGCGGCGUGGGAUACAAAGUUGAGACUG